RNAcentral lists this ribosomal RNA (1506 nucleotides) under metagenome. Its description in RNAcentral is "bacterial SSU rRNA". It matches the Rfam family "Bacterial small subunit ribosomal RNA". The record is from RNAcentral.
AGAAUUUGAUCUUGGUUCAGAUCUAACGCUGGCGGCAUGCCUAAUACAUGCAAGUCACACGGCUAGGGGCAACUCUAGAUAGUGGCGAACGGGUCAGUAACACUUGGAUAAUUUACCUCAAACUUUUGGAAUAACCCCGAGAAAUUGGGAUUAAUACCGGAUGUGGUUUAUGAGAGACAUCUUUUAUAAAUUAAAGCAGGGGAUCGAAAGACCUUGCGGUUAGAGAGAAGUCCAUGGCUUAUCAGCUUGUUGGUGAGGUAAGAGCUCACCAAGGCUAUGACGAGUAGGCGGUCUGAGAGGACGUACGCCGACACUGGGACUGAGACACUGCCCAGACUCCUACGGGAGGCAGCAGUAGGGAAUAUUGCUCAAUGGGCGCAAGCCUGAAGCAGCAAUGCCGCGUGAAGGAUGAAGGUCUUCGGAUUGUAAACUUCUUUUGUCAGGGAUGAAGAGAUUCCAUUUAAUACGUGGGAAAUUUGACAGUACCUGAAGAAUAACCACCGGCUAACUCCGUGCCAGCAGCUGCGGUAAUACGGAGGGUGGAAGCGUUGAUCGGAUUGACUGGGCGUAAAGGGAGCGUAGGCGGCUUGACAAGUCGGGAGUGAAAUUUCGGGGCUUAACCCCGAAACUGCUUUCGAAACUGUCGAACUAGAGGAUAUUAAGGGAAAGCGGAAUACCACAUGUAGCGGUGAGAUGCGUAGAUAUGUGGUAGAACACCGGUGGUGAAGACGGCUUUCUGUGAUAUUACUGACGCUGAGGCUCGAAAGCAUGGGGAUCAAACAGGAUUAGAUACCCUGGUAGUCCAUGCCGUAAACGAUGUAUACUAGAGGUAGGAGGCUUCAACCCCUUCUGUCUCGGAGCUAACGCGAUAAGUAUACCGCCUGGGGAGUACGCUCGCAAGGGUGAAACUCAAAAUAAUUGACGGGGGCCCGCACAAGCAGUGGAGCAUGUGGUUUAAUUCGAUCCACGCGAAGAACCUUACCUGGGCUCGAAAUGUAGAGGAAGUUGCAAGAAAUUGCAACGUCCGCAAGGACUUCUAUAUAGGUGCUGCAUGGCUGUCGUCAGCUCGUGCCGUGAGGUGUUUGGAUAAGUCCAGCAACGAGCGCAACCCUUAUCGUUAUUUACCAGCACGUAAUGGUGGGAACUAUAGCGAGACUGCCGAGGUUAACUCGGAGGAAGGUGAGGAUGACGUCAAGUCCGCAUGGCCUUUAUGUCCAGGGCUACACACGUGCUACAAUGGUCGAUACAGAGGGCAGCAAAACCGCGAGGUCAAGCUAAUCCCAGAAAAUCGAUCUCAGUUCAGAUUGCAGUCUGCAACUCGACUGCAUGAAGUUGGAAUUGCUAGUAAUGGCGCGUCAGCAACAGCGCCGUGAAUACGUUCCCGGGCCUUGUACACACCGCCCGUCACAUCAUGGGAGAAGGUGGAGCCCGAAGUCGCUGAAUCAACCGCAAGGGGAAAGGCGCCUAAGGUUUUACUUUUGACUGGGAUGAAGUCGUAACAAGGUA